This 222-nucleotide ribosomal RNA is filed under the name uncultured fungus. Its description in RNAcentral is "partial 18S ribosomal RNA". Lineage: Eukaryota; Fungi. The record is from RNAcentral.
GAACAAGUUUUGCAGGAAUGAUUCCUUCCGCAGUGUACACUUGUAGAAGCCUUUGCAGCCACGCAAGUGUAAGAUCCAGACGACUCUAAAUAAUUCCAGGAUCGCUAUGCAAGUCGGCCCACGCAACGUGGUGCUGGCGACACUUUCGAAUUGACGGGGACACCCUAAAGCCUGUCGCACCAACUCUGCGUGGGAAACCGCUCGAGGGCCCGUGCUAACUAC